AGCAGCCGCGGUAAUUCCAGCUCCAAUAGCGUAUAUUAAAGUUGUUGCAGUUAAAAAGCUCGUAGUUGAAUUUCGGGAUUGACGUGAUGGUCGUGCCUUACGGGGUAUGAACUGUUGCAGUCAAUUUCUCACCUUCUAGAGAAAUAUGAUGUCCUUAAUUGGGUGUCAUAUGGAACCAGAACUUUUACCUUGAAAAAAUUAGAGUGUUUAAAGCAGGCUUAUUGCUCGAAUACAUUAGCAUGGAAUAAUAAAAUAGGACGGCAUGGUUCUAUUUUGUUGGUUUCUAGGAUCACCGUAAUGAUUAAUAGGGAUAGUUGGGGGCAUUAGUAUUCAAUUGUCAGAGGUGAAAUUCUUGGAUUUAUUGAAGACUAACUACUGCGAAAGCAUUUGCCAAGGAUGUUUUCAUUAAUCAAGAACGAAAGUUAGGGGAUCGAAGACGAUCAGAUACCGUCGUAGUCUUAACCAUAAACUAUGCCGACUAGGAAUCAGACGAUGUUAAUUUUUUAAUGACUCGUUUGGC
RNAcentral lists this unclassified non-coding RNA (520 nucleotides) under uncultured Entrophospora. RNAcentral describes it as "SSU rRNA". It matches the Rfam family "Eukaryotic small subunit ribosomal RNA", at positions 569 to 1084 of the family's 1831-position model. The record is from RNAcentral. Lineage: Eukaryota; Fungi; Glomeromycota; Glomeromycetes; Entrophosporales; Entrophosporaceae.